Molecule: ribosomal RNA, 253 nt
Filed under: uncultured bacterium
Lineage: Bacteria
Description: partial 16S ribosomal RNA
Rfam family: Bacterial small subunit ribosomal RNA
Source: RNAcentral
UACGUAGGGGGCUAGCGUUGUCCGGAAUCAUUGGGCGUAAAGAGCGUGUAGGCGGUCCGGUAAGUCCGCUGUGAAAGUCGGGGGCUCAACCCUCGAAAGCCGGUGGAUACUGUCGGGCUAGAGUACGGAAGAGGCGAGUGGAAUUCCUGGUGUAGCGGUGAAAUGCGCAGAUAUCAGGAGGAACACCUAUUGCGAAGGCAGCUCGCUGGGACGUUACUGACGCUGAGACGCGAAAGCGUGGGGAGCAAACAGG